CUUAGGACUACUCUGUGGGUCAGGAAUUCAGGAAGGCUUCAUUGGGUGAUUUGUCUUUGACCUAUGUGGUAAUAACUGGGAUGGCUGGGGCCAGAGGAUCCGCUUAGAAGAUAGCUUCUUCACUCAUACCCAUAGCCCCUCAGUGUUCUGUGGCCUCUCUCUCUUUACCUGGCAUCCUUAGGUUGCCUGCAGGUGGCUUGAGUUUCUCUCAGUGUGGUGGUUUCAGGGCAGUCAAUUUGCUUACAUGGAAGCUGACUUUCUCAGUGGGACCAUUUCAAGAGUGAUUGUUCUAAGAGAUCAAGGCAGAAGUUUCAAGGCUUUAUAUGAACUGGCUUCAGAAAUCACAUAGUAUCAUUUCUGGUACACUCUGUUGGUUACACAGGGUCAACUCAAAUUCACUAUGGGAAGGGAUGACAAAAGGAAGAGAGUACAGGGAGGCAUGGUUCAUUGGAAGUUAUUUUGGAGAUCAGCUAUCAUAGCAAUUGAUUGCCCACGAUUUUCUGUUUUUUGUUUUUUUUCCUUAAAUCUCCUGACCUACUGAAAUUUGCCAGGUUAAAAUCUCAGAGCUUACUGACCCUGGGAAAUGCUAUCCAAAGAGAUCAUGUAGAGCUGGUAUCAGAGGAUUUUUCAAGGUUAUUUUAGGAGCUGGUGCAUCCUGACAUUCAAAGAAUACACACAUUUCUUUUCACUAAGUUCUCAUAUAAAUGCCAUGACAGGCAGUGAGAUAGACUUAGAGUAUUCCUGGCCUCAGGAGGUGGGACUUCCAUGAGGAACUGCUAUCUUAACCUCUAUCCUGUUCACUGCCUCUCCACAAAGGAGAAAGGGUCUAAGAUUUUAAAUAUGUGCCAGGCACACACUUAGCACAUACAUACAUGUUAGUGGUGAAUCCUCCCAAAGACCGGUGAGAUAGACUGUAUUAUACUCAUUUCAUAAUUGAAGAACCUCUGGUUCUGCUAAGCCACUAGCCUGAUGUCACACAGCAGGUAAGUGGCAACCCUGAGCUUUAAACCUAAAUCUUCUGGUUUUAAAGCACAUUGUUCUUCUACAGCACAAGAAACUGAACUGAUGUAGCAUUAUUCUGUACUUUAUUAAGGUUCAAAUUUCACUGAGCAUAUAACUGUAUACUAACUACUGUCGAAAUAUAUUUUGAAUUAGAAAUGUACAUACCUGUAAGUCUCAAAAAAAUUCUAUCAGCUUUGGCCUGGGCUCUCCAGAGUGCUCUUGGAGAUGUGCAACACUUUCCAAUUAGCAUUCUCUUUGGCCUGAUGGAUGAGGAGAAUGGGGAUGGUCAGCUAUCUCUUUUAUCCAAAUAUGAGGUCCCCAGUGUUAGAGGUCUCACUCUGGCUUUCAGUGGGGCAAAUGUUCAUGAGCACACUACCGUUGAGCAUGGCUUGCUUAGUGAGCCCAUAGGAAAUCAGGAAAUUCACAAUGAUAAAGAAUGAUGGAAUAACUGAGAUGCAUGGUAUUUUUCUUAGACCUCUUAAGAGACUGGCAACAAAUUGGGGCUUGAUGGAAAUUAAUUUACAUGAGUCAAGAAAAACCAGAGGACAGGUAGUAGGAUUGAUAAUGUCAAAGUAGGAGGAGAAGAGGAAGAAUCAUAUAUUAAAGGAGAGGUGAGAAAUGGCCAUACAUUGCAAUUGGCUCAAGGCAGAGAAAAGUUAAUUCUACACUUUAUAAUAGCACUACCAAUUAUUCACUGUCGGUACUAAGAAAUAUUUGUCAGCUCUCAACUUGUAAGUGGAGAUAAAUCUUACAUGUUCAGUUGUGUCAGGUUAUCAUCUGGUCUACACUAAUUGAAUUUGUAAUAGACCAGCCUGAGUCCUGACUCUCCACAAAGCUUCUCCUGACUACUCCCUCACGUGCUGAUUCAUGAACUUACGUCGUUACCCUACGGAGCUUUAUCUGAUUAAUUCACUAGAUUAUGAGUCUUGAGGCAACAGUUCUUUCACUAUACUUUUCCACCUCCCUACCCUUGCUCAACAUGUACACAUACACACUCACAUGCUCAUACACACACACUCACACACACAUUCACACUCACACAAUAUACUCACACACUCACACACCACACACUCACAGGCACAUACCCUUUUCUUCCAGCACAGGCCUAAAUCCUUAGGAAGCACAUAAUAAACACUGGAUGAAAGAACUGGGUUCCACACACUCAAAAACAUUUAAUGCAGAACAAUGCAUAGCCGUUAACUAAUUCAUCGAUGAUGCCAGUCUAAUUUCAGGUGUUAUUGCUAGGCCUGUUAAGCUUGGCCAGUUAGCUAUCAGCUCUGUUGAUGUUUGUAGCUUCUCUUAGAUGAACAUUUCCCAGAGUGAUUGCUCCGGAAUGUUACUUUGGAAUGUUCACACAUUAUAUGCAGUGUUGGGAGAUCUACAGUUCAUACUAGUAUAUUAAAUGCCCUGAGAAGACCUGCAGGAAAGGAAGCCAUUGUCUGAGUGAACAUUUUCCAAAUUAAUUUAUUUGACCAUAGGUUAUCUCUUAAGACAGCAGCACCUAUUUAUUUUCCAGGAAAGUAGUGUUUCCUGAAAUACAUUUCAGGAAAUCAUGGCCCACAAACCCCUGCUUUGAUUCUUUAUCUUCCUUGUUCUUGUGCUUGGUACUAUCUACCUCCCUGUGCCUCAGGCCCAGGGCUUACCUUCUUGCUUCUGAGUGGAUAGAAGCUCUGAGAACCUACAGAAAGAUGCCCCUUUAGGCUAACUUAGCAUUGUUUCAGGCUAGGAGGGGCCCCAGAAAUACCAUGUCCAAUCUUUCAUUUCAGAAACGAGGACAUAGAUGCAGAUGAGGAGAAGUCCAUUGAACACACUCAAGUUAGAACUGCAACUAAAACCCAGGCCUCUAAGUUCCAAAGAAAGAACAUUUCUCCCCUUCUAUUUUUCCUCCAUUCAUAGCGAAGCAGUUUCCUAGAGAGCCAGCAUUUGGGCCCUGCUGGCUUCAUUGAAAGUAGGCAGGCUCAAAAGCUGGUAGGAAGAAUUAUGAUUUCCACAGGAUAUAAUUAGUGAUUUUGAGGAGUUCAAUGCAUGUCCUGGAAAUGGAGAAGAUUGGCAACUGGAGCCCAUACUUUGGCAGAGGCUGAAUGCUGCUUCUAAAACUCCUGGAACAAUAUAGUGCAUUAGCUGGUCCGCCUCCACCUUGAAAUAAAGGCUUCUGGCUCCCAUGGGCUGGGCAAGGCAGAAAGGGAACAACUUGAUUUUCAAAUAAAGACCUUCUUUGAAAAAUUUCCCAGGGGACAUGAUUUGUGGGAUCAUAGCCCAGUGCACUUCUUCCACCAGACACCCUGGUUUUGAAGAAUUUCUUACAUUCCUUGUCCAGGGACUGUUUUUCAGGACUUGCCUUCUUUGUAAGCCCUACUGUCCGAUUAUUGAAGAUAGUCUUAAGGCUAAAGACCCUGCCCCUGUUCAGUUUGUUUUUCCCAUACACCCUGCCCAAAUUCACACAGCAUUUUAUGACUGAAUCCUCUGCAGCAAACUGUUUCCGUUUGCUUCUCAAGCUGAAUUGGCUGAUCUCCAAUUCAGAUUUUCUGAAAACUCGAUAUUGCCUUCUUUCUCUGCAGUGAGCAACUUGGUGAAGUGUUUAAAAUGAUCAUCCCUGGGCAGUGGCAGCUCCUGCAGUGCAGGCUUGGCACCGCCUCCCUCAGGGAGGGCUAAGUAAACUCCACCAGGAUCCUGUGCCCUGGGAUCCAGCAGCAGGCAUUGCCCCCUCCGGAGAGCCUGUCAUGGUGGCUCUCACUACCAGGAGAAUUUACUUAUUCAAGGUUCCCCACUUCCUUCUCCUCCUCCUUCCUCAUAAAGAGACCAGGAACCUUAGAAAAGCUUAUAUUAUUGAGGGUUAGGAAUACAUUUUGAGAGUAGAAGAAUAGGCGAUUACAAGACUGGUUUUGUUUUAGAAAUUGAGGAUUUUCUUAUAAAAAUUAGGUGCUCAUAGCCUUAUACACUGAAAGAUGUCUCCUUUCCUCCACCAUCCACCCCCUCCUCCAAACGUACCACCUCCUUUCUUCCUUUCUACCUUGUGAUCUCUGACCUGUGCAUGUGACAUGGAAUGUCAGUUUUUUUUUGCUGUCAGGCUCUGUCCAAGUGGUGGGAGACAUGAUCCUUAGUAGCUCCUGGCUUAUGUGAGCCUUAAAGUUGGAAUCUCAGAGAAAUGCAAGUGCCUUUUCUCUAAUAGUAUGAGCAAAAAUCCAGUGGAGGACUCUGAGCAGGUUUGCAUCAUAUGACACCCCAGGAGGGGGUCUAGGUGUUAUUUGGACAGGCUAAUAGUGCUACAUCACUUCCACAGUAUUAUUAGGAAACAUUUGGUGCUUGAGGGAUAGGUAGGGGCAGCAGUACAUGGGCAAGAGAAUAUUUCUGAGGGACUUUUGACUGUCAUAGGAAAUGUUGCUGUCAUAGUUCUUCAGAUUCCCCCAUGUUGCAUUCGCUCACAUUUAAAAUAUUUUCCUUUUAAUCAUCUCACAUAGAGAAUGGACCAUUUUGAAUCCGUUUUAUGUUUUCUCCUUAUAAGAAAUAGGCCCCUUGUAACCAAGGCAACUAUGAAUGGACCCAAACCUUCAAGGGUGAUUUUUCUCAUGCAACAAGAAAACAGACCUAUUAUUUUUUCUGGAAGAUUUCAGCCUCCCAUCGGGCAGUUUAAGUUCACUUCCAUGUGGCAGGUAGAGAUCCUUUCUGCUCUUUUGUCUGAAGUUUGGUCAACCAGAAAUUUGUGUUUGCCCAAGACAAGUUUUCACUCUGUUGCUCAGGCUGGAAUGCAGUGAUGCGACCACAGCUCACUGCAGCCUUGAACUCCUGAGCUCAAGCAAUGCUCCCAUUUCAGCCCCCCAAGUAGCUGGGACUACAGUCCUGAUUUAGUUACGUGGGGAGUGGCUUAAGAAAUGGGGAGAUUACAUUGGAGAAGAUGGCUUGGGGCAGGGAGUUUGAGAGCACAUUGCACCAUUUUGAAGGACCUUCCUUGGCCAGAAACGGGGCCCAGCUCUGUGCAGCCUUGAGGGCAAGACCAGGACCAGUGAGGAGACACUGACAGUCAGAGCUGUCCAAUGCUGGCUGAUGGGGAGCAUCCCAGGGUAGGGGGCUACCAGGCAAGGGCUGGCUGUUCAUUUCUGGAAAUGGUAGAGAGGAAAGGAUGUCAUCAUGCUGAGAGUUGGAAUGGUGACUAUUAACGUCCUUUCUAUGAGGUGACUCUGGCCCAUAGCAGUAGGCAUCCUGGAUAUGAGGGAAGGCAGGGGAUGUCUGCAAGGCUGGACCACAGGACAGACAUUUCUGGGGAGAGGAUUGAGGAGAGGAUUGAGGAGCAUGGUCUCUUGAAAGGUUGGCCUGGGCAAUAAUAAUUGUUUAUGGAGAUUAAACAAUAUGCUAUUUUAUAUGUAUAUUUAUACCUAUAUAUCUUGGAAUAGCACCUGGAACAUAGUAAGCACUAUAUAUAAGCAUGUGCUGCUAUUAUUGCCAUUGGUAAAGACAAUGAGAAAUAAUUAGGUGAUGAUAUGUCCUAGUUUAUGCCUGUUGUCCUGGAAUAAUAUUUUAAUAUUGUAUUUUUUGACUCUUAAGAAAGUCCUAGUUUGGGCAAUAAAUUAAAUGGUCACCCUGGCUAUGAUGGGGGGGAAAUCCACUGGUCAGUCAAUCAAGAGACCUAGCUCUGUCAAAAAAAUUCUGUGAGAAUUUGGGCUCUUAACCUCUUUGAGUCUUAGUUUCUUUAUCUUCCAAAUGGAUAUUUAGUCCAAAUCAAAUUUAAAUUCAUGCCAGCAUCCAAUUUUGGUAUGUCUACUAUAUACAGAGCACUAUUCAAAACACCUAACAUUAUGUAAAAAUCAAUAGGACAUGCAAGUGAAUGUUUGUCCUUACCAAAGCUUUCAUCUUGAUGGGAUAAAACAUGGUGGAUGAUGGGGUUAUAAAAAUGUAUAAGGCAUAGUCUUUGCACUUGAUGAUCUCGAUAUCUAAUAGGGGGCACAAGUAAAUAAACAAACAGGAAUAAUGCUAAGAGCUGAACACUCAAUGGAACGACCUGCUUGCAGAGAUGAGCUAGCCACUGCAGGUCUCCGAGCUGUUCUGACACUCAAUAAAGCUCCUCUUCAUCUUGCUCACCUUCCAUUUGUCUGCAUACCUCAUUCUUCCUGGAUGCAAGAUGAGAACUCAGGAAAAAGUGCCUCUGGCCACAGAGGUUUCAGCCAGAAAAGCAAUAACCCAAAGAUCCCAUAACGAUAGAGAUAAAAAGGACAACUUCAAAAAAUAGAGUAAAAAAUCAACCAAGAAAUAACAAUUACAAAUUUGUAUGCAUGUAAUAACCUACUCUUCAAACAUAUCACACAAUAGCUGACAAAAAUAUAAAUAAAAGUGGACAAAUACACAAUAAUAGUAGGAGAUUGUAGUAUACCUCUCUCAAGAGUGGAUAUAUGAAAUAGGUAAAAGAUUAUUGUUGCGGGAAGUCAGGGACCCCGAAUGGAGGGACUGGCUGAAGCCAUGGCAGAACAUAAAUUGUGAAGAUUACAUGGACACAUAUCACUUCCCCAAUCAAUAUCCUUGUGAUUUCCUAUGCCUGUCUUUACUUUAAUCUCUUAAUCCUGUCAUCUUCUUAAACUGAGGAGGAUGUAUGUGGCCUCAGGACCCUGUGAUGAUUGCGUUAACUGCACAAAUUGUUUGUAGAGCGUGUGUGUUUGAACAAUAUGAAAUCUGGGCACCUUGAAAAAAGAACAGGAUAAUAGCAAUGUUCAGGGAACAAGGGAGAUAACCUUAAACUCUGACCGCUGGGUUAAGUCUUACCAAACAAUUAAAGAAUCACUGCAUUUUUUCAGGUUGUACAUAAGGGACUAGCAGCUUCCACUUCAUAAUUAACAAAAUUUAAAAUUCAGUUCUUCAGUUACAGAAACCACACUUCAGGUUCUCAAUAGCUAUAAGUAGUUAGCAGUCACAGUGUGGAUUUUUAGGGCAGUGAAGGUACUCUCUAUGAUACUGUGGAUAUACGUUAUUAUAAAUUUCUCCAAACCCAUAGAAUGUAUAACUGCAGAGCUAUACAUUCAGCUCUGCAGUUUACACUCAGAGUAAACAUUAAUGUAAACUGUGGGCUCUGUGUGAUAAUGACAUGUCAAUGUAGCCUCAUCAGUUCUAAUAAAUACACCACUCUGGUGGAAGAUAUUGAUAACUGGGAGGCUAAGCAUAUGUUGGGGAAUAUGCAAUAUGCAGAUUGCAGAUUUUCAUCAUCACUGAAAAGUGUUGUAGAGCUCUAAUUUAGACUGAGAAACUGGCAAAAGCAUAGACAAAUAAACUGAUGGAAUAGGAAAUUUAGAAAUAGACCACUUAUUGAGAAAAUGUAGUUAUGACAAAUGCCAUUAUGAAUCAACUAGGCAAAAUAAUAUUGUCUCAACAAAAUUAGAUAUUCCUGUGAAAGUAUAUAAAAUCAUAUCCUAACUUUCUCCCAUACAAAUACAAAAAUUCCACACAGAAUUAAAAGCAACAUGUAAAACAUCAAAACAGUAUCAUAAAUAAUGUAAUUGUAAUACGCACAGAGUGCAUAGCAUGGUGCCUAGUGCACACUCAUUAAGUAAAUACUUAAUGAGUAACAAAAUGAAUGAGACUCCUCUAUAGCCUCUAGGAAGUCUACAACUUGCUUGGCAGCAGGCUCUCAGCCAGUGUAGAAGGUCCUUGGGGGCUGCAAAAGCCUCCAUGAGAAAGACUGCCCCAGUAGAGGCCAGAAAAUUAUAGAUGCCUAUUCAUAUUGAAAGGGCUUCCUCACCAGCAGGAUUUCUUAAUGGGAUCAACUGGUCUGGGACACUGGGCAGUCUAUCAAGGAAUCCUAAUGUCCCUGGUACACGUCAGAAGCAUGCUAGGAAUGAGUCCUGUAUCUGACUUUUUGCUUUUGCACUCAUGAACUCAAACACACACGCCAUCCAUUGCCUAGUUCCUAGCAGAAUCGGAGGAGAGAGAUUCAGGGUAAUGGGGCUGAUCUGCACAGACCUAUGCAUGCACUGAGCUCGGUCACUUCCUCUCUGAGAGCUCCUGGGCAGACAGAAGAAGCUUGACUGUUCUUUCAAAAGAACUAUCAAGACUUGAAGGUCAGUUCCUCAGAUCCUCCCUCAUGUAACAUGGUAUAGAGAUUUCCAGGAGCAGAAAAGAGCUGUGGUGAGCUUCCCAGGGGCUUGGCUGAAGAAGAGCUACAGUCUGGCUGGAGAAUGUAGCUCCAGUUCAUAUUAGCUCUUUUCCUCCUCAAACAUUUAGCAAGGGUUUAUAGAUUGCCUAGGCACUUCACCCUGUAAUCGAAGUUAUGAAAAGAAAUUAUGCAGGAAAUAAGAGAAGACAGUAUUUAGCCCCAAUUAAUGUUGACUUAUCUGCAGUCUGUACCAGACCAUAAGCUCCCUGAGGAUGGCAUUUAUACCAUUUAUCCCUGUAUUCUGCCUAGUACAUAACAAGGAACACAUCAGAAGCUUAUUAACUACUUCUUGACUAAAAGCGUAAGGAAUAUAAAGAUUAUCAUGUAAAAAAUAAGAAAAUAAUAAAGUCCUUUAUAAAUAGUUCAUUGAUUCAACCAAUGUUUUUGUAGUGCUUCUCUAUGCUCAGCUCUAGUUUAGGCACUGAUGAUAUUGCCUUAAGACUUCUCAUUAGAAAUGAGCUUUUUGGGAUCUUAGGAACAAUUCAAUUUUCAAUCUAGUAGCACCAGUUCUAAAGGCUGAAAGUCCAAGAUCAAGGUGUCGGCAUGAUUGGUUCCUUCUGAGGCCUCUCCUUAGCUUGCAGAGGGUCACCUCACUGUGUCCUUACAUGGUGUUUCCUCUCUGUGUUUGCAUCCCUGGUGUUUCCUUGGGUGUCCAAAGUUUCCUCUUCGUGAAGACACUGGGCCUUGGGGGUCUCUGUAAGAUCCUCUGUGCCACACUGUGGUUGGAGGAAGAAAGAAAGUGAGGGGAUUGAGGGACAUGCAUAUUGGUUCCUGGAGGGAGUGUGUAUUAGUUUCUUCGUGCUGCUAUAACAAAUAACCACAAACUUAGAGGCUCAAAAUAAGAUAAAUGUAUUAUCUUACAAUUCUGGAAGUUGAAGUCCUUAAAUUGAGGUGUUAACAGGAGAAAAACUCCAAAUCAUGCUGACUGAACUCAUUUUAAAUUUAUGAAUUCUAACCUCAAGUAGACUCUUAGAGCUGGAUAAUAAUAAUUUUGUUACAUCAAUAAAAUAGUAGCCUAAUAAUAUAGUCUAAUACUUUUAGCCUAAUGAUGGCCUAAUAAUUUUACUACGUUUCCCUAGUCGUCUGUUUCUCAGCCUGUAAUGUGCAUCAGAGUCACUUGGAGGGCUUAAUCAAACACUUACUGCUGAGUUUAUGAUUCAGGCAGUUGGGUGCUGAAGGUAGUUGCUGAUAGCUGAGUUGGUCUGUCCUCACUGAUGUGUCUUUCAGCAGCUGAAUUCUCAAUGUGAGAAUUGGUACAGGUUUUAUUAACUGCUCUUGAAUUUGCAAUACAGUCGUCGACUUAUGAUGAUUCAACUUAUGAUUUUUCAACUUCAUGAUGGUGCAAAAGCAAUAUGCAUUCAGUGGAAAUAAAACUUUGAGUUUCUGGUUUUGAUCUUUUCCAGUUUCCAUGCAGAAAAUAACUCUCUGGUGAUGCUGGGCAGUGGCAGCAAUCUGCAGCACCCUGUCAGCCACACAGUCACCACCACAGUUACCAAUACUUAACACUGUACUGUGUUGCCAGCAUUUUUUGGAUACUGCGUUUUCUGUUUUUGCGUCCCAUCAUGUCUACAAAAUAUCCAUUUUCAACUUAACAAUAUUUUCAACAUAUAGAUUUAUCAGGAAGUAACUCCAUGCCCAGUACUAAGCUAAAACAUGGCAAGCAUGUGAACAUUCUAUACAUAUAUAGUCUAGCUUUCAGUUGAGGACCUUGUAGCAUUGAAGCAUCUCCAUAGUAUAGUGUCUAUUCACAAUUCACAAUCCUCUCCAGUGCCCAUGAAUAUUCUCUCUUUUACAUUGCCUAUGGCAUCUUCCAAAUUUGUUAAUCACAUGCCUCCUAGUGUCAGCCCAAUCACCUGAACAUUCUUGUUCAGUGAUUUGACCAAUGGCAAGCACAUUUUCCAUGGACCUCCUAAGCCCUCUUAGGGGGACACUAAAUGCAAAGAAAGUAAAGGGUACAGAGAUUCUGGUUUCCAAGAUUCUUUCAUGCUUACUUUGCUAGAGGUUUUCUUGAGCCAAAAUGUUCACAAGGUACUGCAUACGGCUGACUUUCUAUCUAAAAUACGGAGAGAGAGAGAGAGAGAGAGAGAGAGACUAAUACCAUAAACAUAAUCUCAGAUUUGUUUCAUAAAUUCCUUCUGACUUUGGGAAGGUAUUCUGAGGACAAGCCAAAGCUAGUUAAUUUGUCUUCCUCUCUACCAUGAAACUCUUUGGCAGCCAUUUCAAGAGCGUGUCCUGACUCAGUCCUAGGAUAAGAAUUUAUGUCAAGUUGAGCUGGAUACUAUAUGAAAGUAGAAGCUCAAAGUGACAAAAGCUAUGACCCAAAUGUUCUUUGAUGUGCUUUAGCUUACAAAAUAGGCUCAAAUCCAAUUAUUGUUUGCAUAAUAGCAGGUUUACAAAAUUGUAAUUUUUUACCCAAUCAAUACUUGUGAUUCUUCAUCCCUCCUCUGGGUUAGAGUCCAUCAGAGCUGCAUUAUUAUAAUAUAAUGAUUAUUGGGUCUGGGACUUUCUGGGCCAUGCAGAGUUCAAGCCAAUGGGCCCUUUCUCAGAGGAGAGGGGCACUUUAUGCUGUGAUUGACAUCCAGAGGUGUGACUGUGUAUGCGAAAGGCUACGCAGGGAGUACUCUUGUCCACUUUGUGACGAGGAGGCCUCACUGUCAACUAAGACAACACCUUUAAUUGCUGCUUAGAAUCUAAAGUUCUUCCGGGCUUUGGUUUUUCACCUACAAUGUUGGGUGCCUUCUGUUGCUGCCGUUCUGGUUUAGUGACAGAUAAGAGGUCAUAUCCAUUUAAUGGCACAGAAAGCCACCUGACCGGUGGCAAACACACAUGUUGCCUCAUGCCUCCCAUGCCAAAUUCCCCUUUCUUCACCUGCAGUCAUCAUUUGCAAACUCUCUUUUGAUGAGGCUGUAACUUUCCAUUUGCUCUUAUGAGUUCAUUAAAUUUAAGGACUUAAAAGGUUAAAGCUGGCAGUGAACUUAGAGAUAAUUCGAACCAUGAGAAAACACGUCUAGAAGUAAAGCAGUUGCUCUAGGUUGCUCUGAGACAGGGGUGAUGCCAGGACUAGAAACAGGCUUAGGGCUCUGGUGUCAUUCUUUUCUGCCACAUCUCUCUCAGUGUAGCCUGAAGCAAGAGGAUGAGAACAGACUGGGGCAUAGCCACAUAUUGCCUCCCAAUUUGCCCUUGAAACUCAAGUCUGGCUUUAGACAGGGCAUUUCUUUUCAGAUCCAAUUUCCUCACAGUAAGCAAAAUUAACUAGUCUGUGGCCUCAACCAUACCACUGCAGUUUACUUACAGUAUGUGGAGGAAAGAAAUAAUAGCCAAAAGCAACUCCCUUCACACAGUCUCAAUUUCUCUAGAACCCUCAGUUUCAGAUUUUUCUUUCUUCAAAAUUUAUUAGGUUUAUAGCUCCAUUCAGACCUUCCCAUUUAUUGAAUGUUUGUGGUAUCAGAGAAUCUCUGCAGAUCGAAAUGUUCUCUAAUAGUUUUACUAUACUCAACCUAAGUGUAUUAUGUUGAAAAUCAGAAAGGGUUCAAAAUGAAUUACUUAAGUCAUUCCCUAUUCUCAAAGAUCUUACUUUCUAGUUUGGGACACAGGAUGCAUAAAUGUUGUAAUCAAUAUUCAAUGAGCAUUUUCUAUGUGAUAGGCACUCUUCUAGUUGCUACAGAAGGAAUUUUGAGGAUUUCAGACAGAGAAGCACAUGGACUCUAUAGGACUGGGGCAUAGAUGAAUAGUAUUGAUGACUACUAAGACAACAGUCUAUCCCAAUAUGCUGUGC
This 11909-nucleotide long non-coding RNA is filed under the name Homo sapiens (human). Its description in RNAcentral is "HSALNT0300779". Lineage: Eukaryota; Metazoa; Chordata; Mammalia; Primates; Hominidae. The record is from RNAcentral.